GUGGGGAAUUUUCCGCAAUGGGCGAAAGCCUGACGGAGUGACGCCGCGUGGGGGACGAAGGCCUUCGGGUCGUAAACCCCUGUCAGAGGGAAAGAAGGGUGUCGGUGUGAAUAGCGCCGGCAUCUGACGGUACCUUCAGAGGAAGCCCCGGCCAACUCUGUGCCAGCAGCCGCGGUAAGACAGAGGGGGCAAGCGUUGCUCGGAAUCACUGGGCGUAAAGGGCGCGUAGGCGGGAUGGCAAGUCGGUCGUGAAAUCCUUCGGCUCAACCGAAGAACGUCGGCCGAUACUGCCGUUCUUGAGGGAUGCAGAGGAGAUUGGAAUUCCCGGUGUAGCGGUGAAAUGUGUAGAGAUCGGGAGGAACACCGGUGGCGAAGGCGGGUCUCUGGGCAUCUCCUGACGCUGAGGCGCGAAAGCGUGGGGAGCAAACGGGAUUAGAUACCCUAGUAGUCC
Molecule: ribosomal RNA, 451 nt
Filed under: uncultured bacterium
Lineage: Bacteria
Description: bacterial SSU rRNA
Rfam family: Bacterial small subunit ribosomal RNA
Source: RNAcentral